RNAcentral lists this ribosomal RNA (1408 nucleotides) under Enterococcus durans. Its description in RNAcentral is "bacterial SSU rRNA". It matches the Rfam family "Bacterial small subunit ribosomal RNA". Lineage: Bacteria; Bacillati; Bacillota; Bacilli; Lactobacillales; Enterococcaceae. The record is from RNAcentral.
UGCAAGUCGUACGCUUCUUUUUCCACCGGAGCUUGCUCCACCGGAAAAAGAAGAGUGGCGAACGGGUGAGUAACACGUGGGUAACCUGCCCAUCAGAAGGGGAUAACACUUGGAAACAGGUGCUAAUACCGUAUAACAAUCGAAACCGCAUGGUUUUGAUUUGAAAGGCGCUUUCGGGUGUCGCUGAUGGAUGGACCCGCGGUGCAUUAGCUAGUUGGUGAGGUAACGGCUCACCAAGGCCACGAUGCAUAGCCGACCUGAGAGGGUGAUCGGCCACAUUGGGACUGAGACACGGCCCAAACUCCUACGGGAGGCAGCAGUAGGGAAUCUUCGGCAAUGGACGAAAGUCUGACCGAGCAACGCCGCGUGAGUGAAGAAGGUUUUCGGAUCGUAAAACUCUGUUGUUAGAGAAGAACAAGGAUGAGAGUAACUGUUCAUCCCUUGACGGUAUCUAACCAGAAAGCCACGGCUAACUACGUGCCAGCAGCCGCGGUAAUACGUAGGUGGCAAGCGUUGUCCGGAUUUAUUGGGCGUAAAGCGAGCGCAGGCGGUUUCUUAAGUCUGAUGUGAAAGCCCCCGGCUCAACCGGGGAGGGUCAUUGGAAACUGGGAGACUUGAGUGCAGAAGAGGAGAGUGGAAUUCCAUGUGUAGCGGUGAAAUGCGUAGAUAUAUGGAGGAACACCAGUGGCGAAGGCGGCUCUCUGGUCUGUAACUGACGCUGAGGCUCGAAAGCGUGGGGAGCAAACAGGAUUAGAUACCCUGGUAGUCCACGCCGUAAACGAUGAGUGCUAAGUGUUGGAGGGUUUCCGCCCUUCAGUGCUGCAGCUAACGCAUUAAGCACUCCGCCUGGGGAGUACGACCGCAAGGUUGAAACUCAAAGGAAUUGACGGGGGCCCGCACAAGCGGUGGAGCAUGUGGUUUAAUUCGAAGCAACGCGAAGAACCUUACCAGGUCUUGACAUCCUUUGACCACUCUAGAGAUAGAGCUUCCCCUUCGGGGGCAAAGUGACAGGUGGUGCAUGGUUGUCGUCAGCUCGUGUCGUGAGAUGUUGGGUUAAGUCCCGCAACGAGCGCAACCCUUAUUGUUAGUUGCCAUCAUUUAGUUGGGCACUCUAGCAAGACUGCCGGUGACAAACCGGAGGAAGGUGGGGAUGACGUCAAAUCAUCAUGCCCCUUAUGACCUGGGCUACACACGUGCUACAAUGGGAAGUACAACGAGUCGCGAAGUCGCGAGGCUAAGCUAAUCUCUUAAAGCUUCUCUCAGUUCGGAUUGUAGGCUGCAACUCGCCUACAUGAAGCCGGAAUCGCUAGUAAUCGCGGAUCAGCACGCCGCGGUGAAUACGUUCCCGGGCCUUGUACACACCGCCCGUCACACCACGAGAGUUUGUAACACCCGAAGUCGGUGAGGU